Molecule: ribosomal RNA, 420 nt
Filed under: uncultured bacterium
Lineage: Bacteria
Description: bacterial SSU rRNA
Rfam family: Bacterial small subunit ribosomal RNA
Source: RNAcentral
UGGGGAAUCUUGCGCAAUGGCCGAAAGGCUGACGCAGCGACGCCGCGUGUGGGAGGACGCCUUUCGGGGUGUAAACCACUGUUGCCCGGGACGAACAUCCCUUUUCGAGGGGACUGACGGUACCGGGUGAGGAAGCACCGGCUAACUCCGUGCCAGCAGCCGCGGUAAUACGGAGGGUGCGAGCGUUGUCCGGAAUCAUUGGGCGUAAAGGGCGCGUAGGUGGCGGGACAAGCGUGCGGUGAAAGCCUGGGGCUCAACCCCGGGUCGGCCGUGCGAACUGUUUUGCUUGAGCACUGUAGAGGCAGGCGGAAUUCCGGGUGUAGCGGUGGAAUGCGUAGAGAUCCGGAAGAACACCGGUGGCGAAGGCGGCCUGCUGGGCAGUAGCUGACACUGAGGCGCGACAGCGUGGGGAGCAAACAG